AAAGUUUUCAUGCAAUUAUAAUUAAUGAUAUCUCUUAUGAGCAGUUGUUAUUACAAGCAGGUAGAUGGUCCACCUUCAAGAAAAAUACAUGACAACAACUAUAUAUUUAACAAGAACUUCUUAAUUAUAACGAUGGAAAAAGAAAAAAAUAGCCAAAAGGAAAAAAUAAAUUAUUGUAGUAAUAAUUAGUUGAUCAGUCCAAUGAAUAGAUAAUUUCUUUGAAGGUGGCCAAAUUGUCCUGGAAAAGAGGUAUGAAGGCGUCUAUACUUCCAUCCCCAAUGAACGAAGGUAGAAGAAACAUCAUUCCUUCUGUUGGAAAAUAAGAUGGCAUAAAUAUAUAAGGACUUCCUCCUCCAAAAUCCAGAUCAUAAAAUGGAAACCUUAGCCAACUAUCAACCUCCAAAUUAGGGCACAACACCGACUUGCUCAUCUCCGCCGUGGGCACCAGGUCUUCUUCCUUCCCAGCCUUGUGGGUAGCGAAGUCGAUGAAUGAUUUGAAGUAGCUGUUAUUUACCUUUGCAAUAGCUUCAUGAAUGAGCUUGGCCGCAUAAGGUAAUGGCUCUCGUAGUAGGUCUUUAACCCUCGCACUUGGGAAUGCCCAUAGCACCAAGUUCCCAAAGUAUUCAUUGGGAACUCUUGGAUUCAUUCGCAUGCGUCCAUUCACUGAGAUUCUCACAUGUGUUUUUUCGAACCCACCGAGCCCUCGAGCCUUUGUUAUGGCUCUCCAUAGAUGAGCAACCAAGCUCUCGAAAGUGCUAUAAGUCUUGUUCUGCAGAUUAUUUGAUGGUGGAGAGGCUCUAGCCUUGAGCUUGGAGAGAAAUUCCAAUGUGAAAUGGACUUUAUGGACUAUAAUGUCAUCCACAAAGUUAUCAAUAUAUAUAUUUGGAAAAUCUUUGACAAGCUUCUUGCUUUUAAACUCAACUCCUCUGUGUUCAAACUCGAAAUGAGGAGGUUUUCGAGGGCUGAAAAUGGUUCGAUCACAAAGAGGAAGUGGGUUCAUGUCAAGUCCACGACUAGCUUUCCCCCAUGAAACCAAGAAAUUGCUGGUGGAAUGCCCAUCAGCUACCAAGUGAUGGGCUGUGAAGCCAACUACUAAUGAGCCACAACUGAACCUUGUGAGCUGAACUUGCACGAGCUCUUCCACAUCCUUCAAGCUAGGAUGAAGGCUAAGCAAAACAGGAGAUGGCUUCAAGGGCAUGAGUUGAUCAAGCUUGCAAUCCACAGAAGCUUCAACUAGUUUCACCCCUUUGUCAUUGAGAAAAAUGACAGGAUCACCUUUCUCAUCUUCCCCUAAUCUUCCAGCCCAUUCCCUGUAUUCUGAUAAGGCCCUCUGGAGGCCAAGCUCAAUGGUUGCAUUCAUUGGUGUUGGUGGACGAUAGGCAUAAAUGACUGCUAUGUGGGUGUUGUAGGUGACCUUAUCAAACACACUCAGAGGGAUACAGUGUGAGGUAGGGGGAGGACAAUUCCUUUCAUAAAUUGGCUUAACAGUUCUUGUACUCUCUAGUCUCACCUUCAUGGUUUUUGGUAUUUGGGUAAUUUUCUUUUUUGGAUAAGGCUAUAUUGGCUAGCUAAUUCCAAGAGAGAAAACAAGGUUUAUUUUGAGCUGCCCAUUCCCUGUAUUCUGAUAA
RNAcentral lists this unclassified non-coding RNA (1628 nucleotides) under Hevea brasiliensis (rubber tree). The record is from RNAcentral. Lineage: Eukaryota; Viridiplantae; Streptophyta; Magnoliopsida; Malpighiales; Euphorbiaceae.